GACGGCCUUCGGGUUGUAAACCUCUUUCAGUAGGGAAGAAGCCUUUCGGGGUGACGGUACCUGCAGAAGAAGCGCCGGCUAACUACGUGCCAGCAGCCGCGGUAAUACGUAGGGCGCAAGCGUUAUCCGGAAUUAUUGGGCGUAAAGAGCUCGUAGGCGGUUUGUCGCGUCUGCCGUGAAAGUCCGGGGCUCAACUCCGGAUCUGCGGUGGGUACGGGCAGACUAGAGUGAUGUAGGGGAGACUGGAAUUCCUGGUGUAGCGGUGAAAUGCGCAGAUAUCAGGAGGAACACCGAUGGCGAAGGCAGGUCUCUGGGCAUUAACUGACGCUGAGGAGCGAAAGCAUGGGGAGCGAACAGGAUUAGAUACCCUGGUAGUCCAUGCCGUAAACGUUGGGCACUAGGUGUGGGGGACAUUCCACGUUUUCCGCGCCGUAGCUAACGCAUUAAGUGCCCCGCCUGGGGAGUACGGCCGCAAGGCUAAAACUC
RNAcentral lists this ribosomal RNA (486 nucleotides) under Arthrobacter sp. MN04-04. Its description in RNAcentral is "bacterial SSU rRNA". It matches the Rfam family "Bacterial small subunit ribosomal RNA", at positions 410 to 902 of the family's 1533-position model. Lineage: Bacteria; Bacillati; Actinomycetota; Actinomycetes; Micrococcales; Micrococcaceae. The record is from RNAcentral.